Long non-coding RNA from Hypanus sabinus (Atlantic stingray), 248 nucleotides. RefSeq lists it as uncharacterized. The transcript is spliced from 3 exons. The record is from RefSeq and is a predicted model, not a curated record. NCBI's taxonomy places the organism in Eukaryota, Metazoa, Chordata, Chondrichthyes, Myliobatiformes, Dasyatidae.
CCACUAAGCAAGGGGCCUAUGGACCCCAGAUGUUGGAGAUGUUGGAUCAACAGAUGAUCUGCAAUUAUGUGCAGAUGUUGGAAAUCUUGAGCAACAUGCACAGAAUGCUGGAGGAUCUCAGCAGGUCAAGCAGCAUUCAUAGAGGUAGAAGGUACAGAAGCCUGAAGGCACACACUCAGUGAUUCAGAAACAGCUUCAUCUCCUCUGCUAUCUGACUCUAAAUGGACAUUGAACCCUUGGACACUGCC